This 250-nucleotide ribosomal RNA is filed under the name uncultured prokaryote. RNAcentral's name for it is "partial 16S ribosomal RNA". It matches the Rfam family "Bacterial small subunit ribosomal RNA", at positions 524 to 774 of the family's 1533-position model. The record is from RNAcentral.
UACGUAGGGAGCGAGCGUUAUCCGGAUUUAUUGGGCGUAAAGCGUCCGCAGCCGGUUUAUUAAGUGUGAAAUUAAAGCCCGGGGCUCAACUCCGGUUCGUUUCACAAACUGAUAGGCUAGAGUGUAGUAGAGGCAAGUGGAAUUUCUAGUGUAGCGGUGGAAUGCGUAGAUAUUAGAAGGAACACCAGUGGCGAAGGCGACUUGCUGGGCUAUUACUGACGGUCAGGGACGAAAGCGUGGGGAGCAAAUA